RNAcentral lists this transfer RNA (60 nucleotides) under Armillifer agkistrodontis. Its description in RNAcentral is "tRNA-Tyr". It matches the Rfam family "tRNA". From Rfam's summary of the family: Transfer RNA (tRNA) molecules are approximately 80 nucleotides in length. Their secondary structure includes four short double-helical elements and three loops (D, anti-codon, and T loops). The record is from RNAcentral. RNAcentral also lists the same sequence under 1 other name. Lineage: Eukaryota; Metazoa; Arthropoda; Ichthyostraca; Porocephalida; Armilliferidae.
AAUAAGAUGGCUGAAAAAGCGGUAAAUUGUAAAUUUAUGAAUGAUAUAAAUCUCUUAUUA